UUUAGAUAUAGAAGUAAAAUUCAGAUAGAAAACAAUCAGAUCAUCUGGAGAGGCGUUAUCCUGCCCAUUCCAACAGAUCCCACCUUGAAAGUGGAUGUUGAUCAGAUAACAUGUCCAGCACUGUUAAUGGUUGGUGAUGAUGACCAGAGCUGUCCCAUUCUGGAGACUACUGAAGAUAUACAACAGAUAAUGGAAAAGGCAGGAAAUCAUCACCUGCUCCAAGUCUUCAUCUACCCUGGUGCAGGGCACCUAAUUGAGCCGCCAUACUCACCACAUCACUGGGCUGC
Molecule: long non-coding RNA, 287 nt
Organism: Electrophorus electricus (electric eel)
Lineage: Eukaryota; Metazoa; Chordata; Actinopteri; Gymnotiformes; Gymnotidae
Source: RefSeq, a predicted model, not a curated record